GCCCCCCCGGCUGCCCCACAAGUGCAGCAGCUCCAGCAGGGUCUCUUUGGGGCAGUUCAGCUUCUGACUCUUUCCAGGCCCUUCCGAACAUCACCUUUCUAGGGCUUUUUCCUUGGGAUUCUGCCCCCUCCCCCAGAAAGUUGCCUUCACCCAUCUAAUGAACUCCAGAGAUGCCAGGAGUGAAACCCCCGGCCGGGAACGUCCAGAGUCUCUGUCCUUCGUGUGCCAGGAGUUGGGCUGUGCUCUGGAUCUUUUCUGGCUCAGAAAUCAUUCUGGCAGAUGGUGAGCUGAGGAGGCCGUUCCUGCUCCUAAGCUGACUCCAUGGCACGUGUGCCCCAUCUUUAAGGAAGCCCAUGGGAUGAAGCUUUCUGACAAGUGGCGAGAGAAAGGGCCACUGCUGACAGCAAUCGGCCAGCAAGCAAGAAGGCAUCCGUGGUUGGACGUGCUCUUUCUCUCUGCCCAAGACCCUGGGAAAUCCAACCCUGAGGGCAGGAGGGGGCCUCUCGCUCCAGAGUGUAAGAAGUUUCCUCUUGGGUCCAAGUGGGAAGGUAUCCUUGGGCAAUCUGAUCACGCUUGACUAGUGAAGGCCAGCUUGGGGGCUGAUCUUGGGUUCCCUACAGGAAUUCUUCCAAGAUUGUGGAUCUCACCUUCUUCUCUUGGGUUCCUUGCACAUUCCAAGCAGACAAUGUUCCUCAAAAGAAGAACUGUUUGUUCCCAAACAUUGGAUUCUUUUCUUACUCUGACAGUAUCUGCACUGUGCAAUUUUCUGACACUCCCACAAGAGUAAAGUUGGAUGGUUCCUAGUCCAAAUAAGGGCACAGAGAAAUCCCAGUUCUCUCUUGUGGACAGGAAAGUUGCAGAAGAGCUGGCAAAAUGGCCCACAGCUGGACAUUCUUUCAUGGAAGGAGCACUCCUAGGACAGAAUUUGAGGGCAGAUGAGAGAGGGAAGAGCUUUCUCCCCCUCUCCUAGAAGCAGGGACAUCACGCAAGAGAUGUGCCUGGCUCGCUCAGUUCCACUCUUCCAGAAACCAACUUCCCUGCUUGGCUGACUCCAAGAAGAGCCCUCUUGAUUUGGGGAAGAACCUUUGCCCGUGCCAAGGUGCCCAAAGGAGGGCCACUUUCAGCACGAACCAGAACCCCUCUGGGGACCAAGGAAAUGCCAGCGUUAGCCUGCCCCUCCUGAACUGUUUUAAAAUGCCAGCAGAAGCUGAAGCAAAACAAGCCUGCCGAGCUGGGCCGUACUGCUGAGGGCUGGCUGCAGUUGUGGUAAUGACCAUCCAAGUUCUCCAGAAGACUUCUUCUGUUUCCUUCUCCAGAGUGGAAACAGCCAGAACUGGGCCAGGCAGCAAAGGGGAGCCAUUAGUCACUGGUGGAAGGUUUCACAUUACACACCAGUCAUCCCAGGACAAGGAAGCGCCAGCCAGCUUCCCUGCCCUUCCUCUUGGUUAGGAAAACACCACGGUUGCCUGAGAGCACUUGCCGACAAUGGUCCAGCCCCUGCCAGCAGAGGGGUCGGUCUGUGUCUCCCUGGCCCUUCUGACGUUCAGCCUCCUCUGCUGACCUCAGUGAAAGAGAAGGCUGACAUGUCGGUCGACCCAGGCAGCAGCGGUUGCUGUCCUUACCCUCUAUCCACGAAUCUCUCCCGGGGCAUCUGAGCAUAAGCUGAG
Molecule: long non-coding RNA, 1667 nt
Organism: Python bivittatus (Burmese python)
Lineage: Eukaryota; Metazoa; Chordata; Lepidosauria; Squamata; Pythonidae
Source: RefSeq, a predicted model, not a curated record